GGUUCCAUCGUACAGCAGUUAGCACAUCUGCUUUACAUGCAGAAGGUCCUGGGUUUGUGCCCCAGUGAGGCCA
This 73-nucleotide transfer RNA is filed under the name Pteropus alecto (black flying fox). It matches the Rfam family "tRNA". Rfam says of the family: Transfer RNA (tRNA) molecules are approximately 80 nucleotides in length. Their secondary structure includes four short double-helical elements and three loops (D, anti-codon, and T loops). The record is from Rfam by way of RNAcentral. Lineage: Eukaryota; Metazoa; Chordata; Mammalia; Chiroptera; Pteropodidae.